This is a long non-coding RNA of Athalia rosae (coleseed sawfly), 2912 nucleotides long. RefSeq lists it as uncharacterized. The transcript has 3 exons. Lineage: Eukaryota; Metazoa; Arthropoda; Insecta; Hymenoptera; Athaliidae. The record is from RefSeq and is a predicted model, not a curated record.
AUGGUAUAGGAGAGUGGUGGUAGUGGGUCUUAAUAAUCGUGGCAAAGGUACUGCCACCGCUGUCCGGCUGGCUUCCACGGGUGGCACCCUCACAAUGUAAAGCCCCACGAUCGACACGCCCCGGUCUACGUUCGGUCGUCCAAUCACGAAAGCAGCAUGGCGCUUUUGAAACCUGGUUAGGUGUACACACCAGACUACCGUGCACAGUACCUGCCUGUUUUACCUUGGGCAUUUACCUUUUGUAACAGAGUCUGAAACGCGGGAAAAAGGCACAACACACCAAAACACCGCGUGUCUCUCAUACACCCUCGUCGGAUACAGAUAUCAUCGAACGCGUUUGCGCCACCGCUGAACGAAAAAAAGAAAGGAUAAUAAAAAAAAAAUACAAAAAAAUACAAAAAAAUUUAAAAAAAAAAGAUGGAAUAAAAAGGAACCACUAACUAACCAGCGGUAAUCUUCGCGCUGAUCAACCUUAGGAUUUGUCAUUGAUUGAAUGGGGUUUUCUCAAAGUUCGCCAAACUGACAUUUUGCCGCCGUGAAUCCAUGAACCGCGGAGUACCAGAUUUGAAAAUAUCACUUUUUCGCAUCACCGAGUCAAUACUCCGAUUCGUCGAUCGAUUACAUUUUUUCAGCUGCAGAUUAGACGGACGAUAUGUAUACGUACGGAACCUAUACGGUGUGGGCUGGCGGAAUUAUCUUGCUUCGCAAAGUGUCUAUACGUGUCUCUACAAUUCGAUAUUGGAUGUCUAUUGGCUAUUUAUAAUGUAUAGGCUAUUCGAUCUGUACGUAGAUGUACAGGUAUGUGUCUGUGUGUGUGUGUGUGUGUGUUCACGUGUUGUUGUUCCUAACGUUUCGGAGACAUGCAACCUAUAUUCGGAUCAACCGGCUCCUGCAACUGAUGCAGCGACAGGUCUCAUUUUAUCUUGAGAUCAUAAAUGCGAUUCUACUAUUUUUCCUUCCCCUUUCGAAUGCUGUCCUUUUGUUUUUUGGUUUUUUUUUUUUCAUCCCAUCAGAACUUUCGCUCCGGAUUCAGCUUUUUCGAUCAUCUCUCCAACUGCAGCCCGUAUACGAUAAAACUGUCCAAGCUCCACGUGAGAAUUGAGAUAGUACUGAAAACAAAAAGUUUUGCAACAAUUUUUGAGAAUUUUCGCCAAUAGUUGGAAAAAAAAUUUUCGUAACGUUAUAACGGUAGAUCGAUAAUAUUCUUCGAUCUGAUUCGCUGACGGGUCAUCACCUACAUCGUACAUGAGAACGAGGUACGUUGCAUCGUUUUAAUUAAACCCACUGACAAUCGUAGGCACGUUUUAUUUGACAAACGGGAGCACAAUUAGCGAGUAACAAGAGUAAGGGGAAGAAGGAAAUUGAAAAAAAAAAUCCGACGAUCGAAAAUCCCACCCUCCUGUGGGAACAGGUUCGGAUUAAAUACGUGCGUGCGUGCGCGUGCGUGUGUGUGUAUGUAAUAGGUAAGUUCACGCGUUAGCGAGCGUUGAGGUGGUCAGUAUACUUACUCGUUUGAUGUCCGCCUCCACCUUUUUUUCUCCACACGCACUUGAUCGCUGCACGCAUAUCCGAUAACGCACGCGCAUCGCUCAGGCAUUCGCACACACGCCUCUGCUUACCAAUCGUCGAACGAUCAUUGUCAAUUAUACCGAUGAAAUUCAAAAAUUCUAUAAUCUAUAUCCCUUUUAACGAUAUUCGAUCAAAUCCGCACCAAUUAACUCGUCUCAUUAACAAGAACAUCCUGAACACAUGUUAUCCGUGUAUAGGGUCUGGUUUGAAUCGCUCGUUCGAAAGAAUAGAAGAAAAAAAAAAUGAUGAUUCUAAUUCAUUUUGAGCAAAUUUUUGAUACUUAUUUUUUUUUUUUGUUCUUGUAACACAUACGUCUACAUAAAUGUAUAUGCGGUGGGGGGAUCGGGGUGGACGCACACUAUAGAUUCCGUAUAUAAAAUCAGGAGGGUGGAAUCGUCGUAGACUCACCUGGUUUUGCCAUCUAACGGGGUUUUUGAUAACUGUACGUUUAUUUUACCUGGGAAACAGGUGAGACGCAGGAUUACCGAUAGUAAGAGGAUUUAUCAAGGGAAUAUUGACGGAUGCGUUGCAGGCGGAAUCGCACAUUUAUUCGCCGUUAAAAUCGAUGCAAGAGUCAGCUCCGUUAUUUAAUUUUUUUUUUACAUUUUUUUUCAAUUUUUUCAACAACGUUACGCGAAUUAGCCGAGAUUUUCAGCGAUUGACGGAUAUCUCUGUUCACUUACCAACGUCGUCGAUGAUCUCAUCCGAUCGAAAACUGGGAGUAAUCAGAGUCAUCCUUCGUGAAUUUAAUCGGGAACCUGCGAACAAAUCAGAUCAGAACGCGAUCUGCGUUAUAAUACGUUCACCGCAUUACCGCAUCUAUACCGUAAUAAUACUCGAAAUAGUCGGAUACGUUGUGCGAUGUGCGGAGAAUUAGUUGCGGUGCGUUGCGCGCAAUUAACAUGAAUCUAAAAAUAGAUCCGACCACGGUAUAGCGAACAAUUGUGAAAGGGAAGGGAAAAUAAAAAAAAAUCAGAUCAUUAAAUAAAUAAAAAUGAAAGUACACGCGUAUGAACAGGUAUUAUUCGCAGUAUGUUGUAUCACGGUCGACAAUGACGGGGACCAUCCUGAACCAGCUCAACGUGAAUUUUAUAAUUAGAUAAAUUCAUCGUCGCUAUCUUUGCGAUCGCGAUAUUCCCUUUGAAAUAUAAACCAACAAUCAAAUCUGCAGUUACGGCAGCCACGACUCCAGAUUAUACUUUGAUACAGUUUUUUUACCCCCGGUGCAGCUUACGCUCUGUAACUCCCGCCGUGUACAUAUGUAUGUACCACCGAUACAUAAAAUACGUACAUGUACCACAGAGAAAUAUAUGUAUAUAUAUAUAUAUAUUUAUGUAUUUAAU